This 474-nucleotide long non-coding RNA is filed under the name Musa acuminata (dwarf banana). Its description in RNAcentral is "long non-coding RNA (MACU_LNC010085)". Lineage: Eukaryota; Viridiplantae; Streptophyta; Magnoliopsida; Zingiberales; Musaceae. The record is from RNAcentral.
CAAAACUUCGAUCGAGACAAUUAAUCCUAAGCAAUUAACCAAGUUGUCCGGCAUGUCAUUGGUCCCUCGACGCUUCUUCCGAUUCUUCGGCGCAUCGUCCUUUCCUGCAGCCUAUUGCCCAAUCGGCCAAUUGACUUCGCAACUCCGAUAUCGUUGGCACAAUACCCGCUCUACUUGGCCCGAUGCCCGAGUCCACGGCCCGAAGCCUUCUGUCGAUACGUCGACCGAUCCACCGGCCCGACGUCCAAUCUUCUGACAUGUUCCUCCGGCACAACAUGAUUUUCCUGCUUUAAUUGUCUCAUCCUGAUUGAAGCAUCCUGCGUCACUCAAAACGCAGAUUAAAUCAUAAAUAUAUAUCAAGUAGUUUCAUCAUCAAAAUAUGAGAUUCAACAAUCUCCCCCUUUUUGAUGAUGACAACCACUUGAUGACGGAGUUAAACUUAACUCCCGGAGUUUAAAUAAACUCCCCCUAUCA